Molecule: small RNA, 38 nt
Filed under: Arabidopsis thaliana (thale cress)
Lineage: Eukaryota; Viridiplantae; Streptophyta; Magnoliopsida; Brassicales; Brassicaceae
Description: ATSL061990
Source: RNAcentral
AAAAAGAAGAAAAGAAGUGAUUUUUCUCUUCUUUUUUU